Molecule: ribosomal RNA, 467 nt
Filed under: uncultured bacterium
Lineage: Bacteria
Description: partial 16S ribosomal RNA
Rfam family: Bacterial small subunit ribosomal RNA
Source: RNAcentral
GACGAACGCUGGCGGCGUGCUUAGCACAUGCAAGUCGAACGGAAAGGCCCUGCUUUUGUGGGGUGCUCGAGUGGCGAACGGGUGAGUAACACGUGAGUAACCUGCCCUUGACUUUGGGAUAACUUCAGGAAACUGGGGCUAAUACCGGAUAGGAGCUCCUGCUGCAUGGUGGGGGUUGGAAAGUUUCGGCGGUUGGGGAUGGACUCGCGGCUUAUCAGCUUGUUGGUGGGGUAGUGGCUUACCAAGGCUUUGACGGGUAGCCGGCCUGAGAGGGUGACCGGCCACAUUGGGACUGAGAUACGGCCCAGACUCCUACGGGAGGCAGCAGUGGGGAAUAUGGCACAAUGGGCGGAAGCCUGAUGCAGCAACGCCGCGUGCGGGAUGACGGCCUUCGGGUUGUAAACCGCUUUCGCCUGUGACGAAGCGUGAGUGACGGUAAUGGGGAAAGAAGCACCGGCUAACUACGU